This 71-nucleotide transfer RNA is filed under the name Camelus bactrianus (Bactrian camel). It matches the Rfam family "tRNA". From Rfam's summary of the family: Transfer RNA (tRNA) molecules are approximately 80 nucleotides in length. Their secondary structure includes four short double-helical elements and three loops (D, anti-codon, and T loops). The record is from Rfam by way of RNAcentral. Lineage: Eukaryota; Metazoa; Chordata; Mammalia; Artiodactyla; Camelidae. RNAcentral also lists the same sequence under 2 other names.
GUGGGUGUAGCUCAGUGGUAGAGUGCCUGCUUAGCAUGCAUGAGGUCCUGGGUUCAAUCCCCAGUACCCCA